ACACGUAGGGGGCGAGCGUUGUCCGGAAUUACUGGGCGUAAAGGGCGCGUAGGCGGCCCAAUAAGUCAGAUGUGAAAGUCCUGGGCUUAACCCAGGGAUUGCAUUUGAAACUGUUGGGCUUGAGGACAGGAGAGGAAAGCGGAAUUCCCAGUGUAGCGGUGAAAUGCGUAGAUAUUGGGAGGAACACCAGUGGCGAAGGCGGCUUUCUGGACUGUCCCUGACGCUGAGGCGCGAAAGCCAGGGGAGCGAACGGGAUUAGAUACCCCGGUAGUCCUGGCCGUAAACGAUGGAUACUAGGUGUGGGAGGUAUCGACCCCUUCCGUGCCGCAGCCAACGCAUUAAGUAUCCCGCCUGGGGAGUACGGCCGCAAGGCUGAA
RNAcentral lists this ribosomal RNA (377 nucleotides) under uncultured bacterium. RNAcentral describes it as "bacterial SSU rRNA". It matches the Rfam family "Bacterial small subunit ribosomal RNA", at positions 523 to 898 of the family's 1533-position model. The record is from RNAcentral.